This 308-nucleotide ribosomal RNA is filed under the name uncultured bacterium. Its description in RNAcentral is "bacterial SSU rRNA". It matches the Rfam family "Bacterial small subunit ribosomal RNA", at positions 28 to 346 of the family's 1533-position model. The record is from RNAcentral.
GAUGAACGCUAGCGGCAGGCCUAAUACAUGCAAGUCAAGGGGCCAGCAAUGGCACCGGCGCACGGGUGCGUAACACGUACACAACAUACCUUUAAGUGGGAGAUAGCAUCGGGAAACUGGUGGUAAUACCCCAUAAUAUUGCGAUGCGGCAUCACAUUGCAAUUAAAGUUUCGACGCUUAAAGAUUGGUGUGCGUCCGAUUAGCUAGUUGGCGGGGUAACGGCCCACCAAGGCUACGAUCGGUAGGGGGUGUGAGAGCAUGACCCCCCACAUGGUACGUGAGACACGGACCCGAACCUACCUACCGGG